CACGUAGGCGGCUCGCUCAGUCGGGUGUGAAAGCCCACGGCCCAACCGUGGAACUGCACCCGAUACUGGCGAGCUCGAGGACGGAAGGGGUGAGUGGAACUCCAGGUGGAACGGUGAAAUGUAUAGAUAUCUGGAGGAACACCGGUGGCGAAAGCGGCUCACUGGUCCGUCUCUGACGCUGAGGUGCGAAAGCUAGGGUAGCGAACAGGAUUAGAUACCCUGGUAGUCC
Molecule: ribosomal RNA, 229 nt
Filed under: uncultured bacterium
Lineage: Bacteria
Description: partial 16S ribosomal RNA
Rfam family: Bacterial small subunit ribosomal RNA
Source: RNAcentral